RNAcentral lists this ribosomal RNA (253 nucleotides) under uncultured bacterium. Its description in RNAcentral is "partial 16S ribosomal RNA". It matches the Rfam family "Bacterial small subunit ribosomal RNA", at positions 524 to 776 of the family's 1533-position model. The record is from RNAcentral.
UACGGGGGGGGCAAGCGUUGUUCGGAAUUACUGGGCGUAAAGGGCUCGUAGGUGGCCAAUUAAGUCAGACGUGAAAUCCCCAGGCUCAACUUGGGAACUGCGUCUGAUACUGGUUGGCUUGAAUUCGGGAGAGGGAUGCAGAAUUCCAGGUGUAGCGGUGAAAUGCGCAGAUAUCGGGAGGAACACCAGUGGCGAAGGCAGCCCUCUGGGACGGUACUGACGCUGAGACGCGAAAGCGUGGGGAGCGAACAGG